Molecule: ribosomal RNA, 459 nt
Filed under: uncultured bacterium
Lineage: Bacteria
Description: bacterial SSU rRNA
Rfam family: Bacterial small subunit ribosomal RNA
Source: RNAcentral
UACGGAAGGCAGCAGUGGGGAAUAUUGCACAAUGGGCGCAAGCCUGAUGCAGCCAUGCCGCGUGUAUGAAGAAGGCCUUCGGGUUGUAAAGUACUUUCAGUCGUGAGGAAGGUGUUAAGGUUAAUAACCUUAGCAAUUGACGUUAGCGACAGAAGAAGCACCGGCUAACUCCGUGCCAGCAGCCGCGGUAAUACGGAGGGUGCGAGCGUUAAUCGGAAUUACUGGGCGUAAAGGGCACGCAGGCGGUUAAUUAAGUUGGAUGUGAAAUCCCCGGGCUUAACCUGGGAAUGGCAUUCAAGACUGGUUAGCUAGAGUCUUGUAGAGGGGGUAGAAUUCCAUGUGUAGCGGUGAAAUGCGUAGAGAUGUGGAGGAAUACCGGUGGCGAAAGGCGGCCCCCUGGGACAAAAGGACUGACGCUCAUGUGCGAAAAGCGUGGGGAGCAAACAGGGAUUAGAUACC